AAUGCGAUAAGUAAUGUGAAUUGCAGAAUUCAGUGAAUCAUCGAAUCUUUGAACGCACCUUGCGCUCCUUGGUAUUCCGAGGAGCAUGCCUGUUUGAGUGUCA
RNAcentral lists this ribosomal RNA (103 nucleotides) under Hydnellum gracilipes. Its description in RNAcentral is "partial 5.8S ribosomal RNA". It matches the Rfam family "5.8S ribosomal RNA", at positions 52 to 154 of the family's 154-position model. From Rfam's summary of the family: 5.8S ribosomal RNA (5.8S rRNA) is a component of the large subunit of the eukaryotic ribosome. It is transcribed by RNA polymerase I as part of the 45S precursor that also contains 18S and 28S rRNA. Functionally, it is thought that 5.8S rRNA may be involved in ribosome translocation. Lineage: Eukaryota; Fungi; Basidiomycota; Agaricomycetes; Thelephorales; Thelephoraceae. The record is from RNAcentral.